RNAcentral lists this ribosomal RNA (497 nucleotides) under uncultured bacterium. Its description in RNAcentral is "partial 16S ribosomal RNA". It matches the Rfam family "Bacterial small subunit ribosomal RNA", at positions 28 to 507 of the family's 1533-position model. The record is from RNAcentral.
GAUGAACGCUGGCGGCGUGCCUAAUACAUGCAAGUCGAGCGAACAGACGAGGAGCUUGCUCCUCUGACGUUAGCGGCGGACGGGUGAGUAACACGUGGAUAACCUACCUAUAAGACUGGGAUAACUUCGGGAAACCGGAGCUAAUACCGGAUAAUAUAUUGAACCGCAUGGUUCAAUAGUGAAAGACGGUUUUGCUGUCACUUAUAGAUGGAUCCGCGCCGCAUUAGCUAGUUGGUAAGGUAACGGCUUACCAAGGCGACGAUGCGUAGCCGACCUGAGAGGGUGAUCGGCCACACUGGAACUGAGACACGGUCCAGACUCCUACGGGAGGCAGCAGUAGGGAAUCUUCCGCAAUGGGCGAAAGCCUGACGGGGCAACGCCGCGUGAGUGAUGAAGGUCUUCGGAUCGUAAAACUCUGUUAUUAGGGAAGAACAAAUGUGUAAGUAACUAUGCACGUCUUGACGGUACCUAAUCAGAAAGCCACGGCUAACUACGUG